UUUUGUGGAUUAACCAGCAUGCCCUAGCAUCAAAACCAGAACUGCCAUGCCCAUUCCACAAACAGACACUAGUACAGGUACCACGAGGGGCUAUCCUACUUUAGGAACAGUAAAGGACGAUCCCUUGUUCUGCACUGCAGAAAGAUCACAAAAACAAAUAACAAGUAACAGGUCUAACAUAGUCGCCACCAACGCGACCUGCAGGCAGGUCCAACGACCCCCACAGCAAAGACGGUCAAAUCUCGGGUGGCUUUCCCAGUGAACAGUUGCAUCUCUCCCGGCCGCAAACAGUAUCAUCCUUCAGUGUCUUCCCCUUCGUCAACCUCCUCGCAGUAACCUUCUCACCAGUAACCCAAACCCAGAACCGAGAUUUCGAGCAAUAGAGCCGUCAGAUCUCAGUCCCGGAGUGCUUCCCAAAACCACCAGAGGUUUCAACCACCUUAACGGCUUCAGUACUCGGGUUGGCGGUCGUUCCUCCAGUUCCCAGAGCUGGGUCCUCCACGGCCACCGUAGCCGCCACCACCACCGCCUCCGUAGCCUCCACCACGGCUUCCUCCAUAACCACUACCUUCACGGUCACCUCCUCCACGGCUUCCACCGUAACCUCCUCCAUAGCCACCUCCUCCUUGCUCUCUGCGGCCGUAGCCACCACCGCCGCCACCGCCACCACCGCCUCCACCACGAG
RNAcentral lists this long non-coding RNA (685 nucleotides) under Physcomitrium patens. Its description in RNAcentral is "long non-coding RNA (PPAT_LNC004628)". The record is from RNAcentral. Lineage: Eukaryota; Viridiplantae; Streptophyta; Bryopsida; Funariales; Funariaceae.